AAAAAUAAUAUCAUCAUUAUAAAAAAAUAAUUAGAGUUUUUUCGCAUAUGCCAUAAUUUGAAUUUUUAAAAACAAAUAUAAACUGUUCAAUACAUGAAAAAAUAUUAUAACGGUGAAAAAUAGAUUUAAGAAAACUUUCUACUGAGUAACGGGUCAUAAUUUGAAAUAUUUAUAUUCAAUUUCAUACAUAUUAUAUUGAAAAUUUAUAAUUUAUAUAUACUACAAUAAUUAAUAACAUAUUAGAUGUGAUUCAAUUUUUAAUACAAGCUGAAAAAUCCUAGAAUUGACGGGUUUAGAUCGAUAUUAAUACAAGAUGGUAUACUACAGGUGAAACUCUUAAAUUAACAAUCGAACUACAAGUGUAUAAUCUUAAACACUAAACAAUAUAGAUAAUAUCAACAAAACAUAUACAACUCACAGUUUACUAUACAUUUAAAAUCAAAUAAAAUAAUAUCAUAUAUUUUUUAAUCAUCUUUACAAUAAAAGUUUUUAGUUUAACUAAAAUAUAAGUCUACCUGCGGUAUAUUGUAGGUUAAUAUAUAGAUUAUAGAGCUCAUUCGAUCUAAAAACGGGUCAUCAAAGAUUUCCUAAACUGAAGCAAAAUAUACUAAAUAUUCAAAUAUCUAUAUGUUACCAAAUUAUAAACAAAUAAGUCAAUUUAU
Molecule: small RNA, 662 nt
Filed under: Arabidopsis thaliana (thale cress)
Lineage: Eukaryota; Viridiplantae; Streptophyta; Magnoliopsida; Brassicales; Brassicaceae
Description: ATSL192510
Source: RNAcentral